UAGGGAAUCUUCCGCAAUGGACGCAAGUCUGACGGAGCAACGCCGCGUGAGUGAAGAAGGAUUUCGGUUCGUAAAACUCUGUUGUUAGAGAAGAACAGCGCAUAGAGUAACUGUUAUGCGUGUGACGGUAUCUAACCAGAAAGCCACGGCUAACUACGUGCCAGCAGCCGCGGUAAUACGUAGGUGGCAAGCGUUGUCCGGCUUUAUUGGGCGUAAAGCGAGCGCAGGCGGUCAAUUAAGUCUGAUGUGAAAGCCCCCGGCUCAACCGGGGAGGGUCAUUGGAAACUGGUUGACUUGAGUGCAGAAGAGGAGAGUGGAAUUCCAUGUGUAGCGGUGAAAUGCGUAGAUAUAUGGAGGAACACCAGUGGCGAAGGCGACUCUCUGGUCUGUAACUGACGCUGAGGCUCGAAAGCGUGGGUAGCAAACAGG
RNAcentral lists this ribosomal RNA (429 nucleotides) under Bacteroidota bacterium. RNAcentral's name for it is "Bacteroidetes bacterium partial 16S ribosomal RNA". It matches the Rfam family "Bacterial small subunit ribosomal RNA", at positions 355 to 776 of the family's 1533-position model. The record is from RNAcentral. Lineage: Bacteria; Pseudomonadati; Bacteroidota.